Molecule: long non-coding RNA, 369 nt
Filed under: Eufriesea mexicana
Lineage: Eukaryota; Metazoa; Arthropoda; Insecta; Hymenoptera; Apidae
Description: uncharacterized LOC108552388, transcript variant X3
Source: RNAcentral
UUUCUGUUAUGUGACUGUUUUAAAACGAAAGACUAUCGUAUAUAUCGUGAAAUGUUGAUCUUACAUAACCUAACCCAACUUUUGCAGUUUGUUAAUAAUCCGAUUACGGACAACCGGAUAGACGGAUGAAAGCACGCGGGGAACGAAUACGGAACCCCCUUUGAGCGGUCAGGAUUUAUACCGUGUUUUGUUCUGGCAGAGGGGCGCGUACGCAGAAAACGGACUCCGUGCCAACAACGUUGCCAACGAUAUCAUGAAUGGUGCUGUUGUAAACGAUAUCGAAAUGCAACCCUCUGUUUCCGUUUUGUUCAAUAAUAGAUUUCCCCCAUUCUGCGGUUUCCUUUUAUUCGCAUGAAGAUUAAGUUACGU